RNAcentral lists this ribosomal RNA (51 nucleotides) under uncultured bacterium. RNAcentral describes it as "partial 16S ribosomal RNA". The record is from RNAcentral.
CCUAACCCGCAAGGGAGGGAGCCGCCGAAGGUGGGAUUGGUGACUGGGGUG